Molecule: ribosomal RNA, 258 nt
Filed under: uncultured bacterium
Lineage: Bacteria
Description: partial 16S ribosomal RNA
Rfam family: Bacterial small subunit ribosomal RNA
Source: RNAcentral
AAUGAACGCUGGCGGCGUGCUUAACACAUGCAAGUCGAACGAGGCGGAGGGGGGCAACCCCUCCAGUCGAGUGGCGGACGGGUGAGUAACACGUGGGUAACCUGCCCGGAAGUGGGGAACACCUCGGGGAAACUCGAGCUAAUACCGCAUGACAUCUUCGGGACGAAAGUCCUGACGAUCAAAGCGGGGCCGCAAGGCCUCGCGCUUCCGGAUGGGCCCGCGCCCGAUUAGCUAGUUGGCGAGGUAACGGCUCACCAA